RNAcentral lists this transfer RNA (65 nucleotides) under Drosophila borborema. RNAcentral describes it as "tRNA-Tyr". It matches the Rfam family "tRNA". Rfam says of the family: Transfer RNA (tRNA) molecules are approximately 80 nucleotides in length. The record is from RNAcentral. Lineage: Eukaryota; Metazoa; Arthropoda; Insecta; Diptera; Drosophilidae. RNAcentral also lists the same sequence under 2 other names.
GAUUAAGUGGCUGAAGAUAGGCGAUAGAUUGUAAAUCUAUUUAUAAGAAUUAUUCUUCUUAAUCA